Molecule: ribosomal RNA, 868 nt
Filed under: uncultured beta proteobacterium
Lineage: Bacteria; Pseudomonadati; Pseudomonadota; Betaproteobacteria
Description: bacterial SSU rRNA
Rfam family: Bacterial small subunit ribosomal RNA
Source: RNAcentral
GGUGGCGAGUGGCGAACGGGUGAGUAAUAUAUCGGAACGUGUCCAAUAAUGGGGGAUAACGAGUCGAAAGAUUCGCUAAUACCGCAUACGCCCUACGGGGGAAAGCAGGGGAUCGUAAGACCUUGCGUUAAUGGAGCGGCCGAUAUCUGAUUAGCUUGUUGGUGAGGUAAAGGCUCACCAAGGCGACGAUCAGUAGCUGGUUUGAGAGAACGACCAGCCACACUGGAACUGAGACACGGUCCAGACUCCUACGGGAGGCAGCAGUGGGGAAUUUUGGACAAUGGGGGCAACCCUGAUCCAGCCAUUCCGCGUGAGUGAAGAAGGCCUUCGGGUUGUAAAGCUCUUUCGCAAGGGAAGAAAACUUAUGAUCGAAUAAAUCAUGAGGUUGACGGUACCUUGAUAAGAAGCACCGGCUAACUACGUGCCAGCAGCCGCGGUAAUACGUAGGGUGCGAGCGUUAAUCGGAAUUACUGGGCGUAAAGCGUGCGCAGGCGGUUUUGUAAGUCGGAUGUGAAAUCCCCGGGCUCAACCUGGGAACUGCGUUCGAAACUGCAAGGCUAGAGUGUGUCAGAGGGGGGUAGAAUUCCACGUGUAGCAGUGAAAUGCGUAGAGAUGUGGAGGAAUACCAAUGGCGAAGGCAGCCCCCUGGGAUAACACUGACGCUCAUGCACGAAAGCGUGGGGAGCAAACAGGAUUAGAUACCCUGGUAGUCCACGCCCUAAACGAUGUCAACUAGUUGUUGGUAGAGUAAAAUCUAUGAGUAACGUAGCUAACGCGUGAAGUUGACCGCCUGGGGAGUACGGUCGCAAGAUUAAAACUCAAAGGAAUUGACGAGGGCCCGCACAAGCGGUGGAUUAUGUGGAUUAAU